This 252-nucleotide ribosomal RNA is filed under the name uncultured bacterium. Its description in RNAcentral is "partial 16S ribosomal RNA". It matches the Rfam family "Bacterial small subunit ribosomal RNA", at positions 524 to 776 of the family's 1533-position model. The record is from RNAcentral.
UACGUAGGUGGCAAGCGUUGUCCGGAAUUACUGGGCGUAAAGCGAGCGCAGGUGGUUUAUUAAGUCUGGUGUAAAAGGCAGUGGCUCAACCAUUGUAUGCAUUGGAAACUGGUAGACUUGAGUGCAGGAGAGGAGAGUGGAAUUCCAUGUGUAGCGGUGAAAUGCGUAGAUAUAUGGAGGAACACCGGUGGCGAAAGCGGCUCUCUGGCCUGUAACUGACACUGAGGCUCGAAAGCGUGGGGAGCAAACAGG